Molecule: non-coding RNA, 139 nt
Organism: Triticum aestivum (bread wheat)
Lineage: Eukaryota; Viridiplantae; Streptophyta; Magnoliopsida; Poales; Poaceae
Source: Rfam
AAGGUGGACGAGGAAGAUGUUGUCUCUCAGAGCCUCGCUGGACUCGAUGAGGAGUUCUAUCCUGUGGUAUUUGCCAUGUGUUCCCGGGUUGAGCCCGUUGGGGUCCCGGAGUUGUACUCGCAGCUCCUGAGCUUCGAGA